UAUCAAAUUUAUAAUUUGCAAAUGUUUUCUCCAUUCUGUGUGUGUUUUUUCCCUUUCUUGAAAGUGUCCUUUGAAGCACAAGAAAUUUUGGUUUGAUAAAGUUUAUUUUAUCUAAUCGUUCUUUUGCUGCUUAUGCAUUUUCUGUCAUAGCUAAGAAUCCAUUGGCUGAUUCAGGAUUCACUACUGUGUUUUCUUCUAAGAAUUUUAUAAUUUUAUCUCUUACAAUUAGGCUUUUUAUCUAUUUUGAGUUACUUUUUGUAUAUGAUAUGAGCUAAGGGUUUCAACUUUAUUUUUUUGUAUGUGAAUAUUCAAGUGUCUCAGCACUAUUUGUUGAAAAGACUCUUCUCUAAUAAUGGAAUGGUCUUUCCACCCUUGUUGAACUGACUGUAGACACAUGGUGUUUAUUUUUGAACUCUCAAUUCUGUUUCAUUGAUCUGUUUGUGAGUCCUUAUGCUGGUACCACACUCUCUUCGUUACUGUUGGUUGCUUUGUAGUAAGUUUUGAAGUGAGGAAAUAAGGAUCCCCCAACUUUGUUUAUUUUCAAUAUUGGUUUGGCUAUUCUGGGUCUCUUGCAAUUCUGUAUGAAUUAUAGGAUCAGCUUGUCAAUUUCUACAAAGGUGUUAACUAGGAUUCUGAUACAGAUUGUAUUGAAUCUGCAGAUCAAAUGGAGAGUAUUGGUAUCCUAACAAUACUAAGUCUCCUGAUGCAUGAACAUGGGGAUGUUUUUCCAUUUAUUGAGGCCUUGUUUAAUUUCUUUCAACAGUGGUUUCUAAUGUUUCUCAUUUCUUUUGUUAAAUUUGUCCUUAAGUAUUUUAUUCUUUUUGAUACUGUUGUAAGUGGAAUUACUGUAAUUUUAUUUUCAAGUUGCUGAUUUGCAUAUACAAAUACAAUUGAUUUUUAUAUAUUGAUCUUUUAAAAUUUUUAUUUAUUUUUAUUUUUGGCUCUGCUGGGUCUUCGUUGCUGUAUGCAGGCUUUCUCUAGAUGCGGUAAGCAGGGGCCACUUCUCAUUGUAGCGGCUUCUCUUGUUGCAGAGCAUGGGCUCUGAAGCUCCAGGUCAGUAGUUGUGUGCACUGGUUCAGUUGCCCUUCAGCACGUGGAAUCCUUCCAGAGCAGAGAUCAAACCCAUGUCUUCUGCAUUGGCAGGCAGAUUCUCAACCACUGGACCACCAGGGAAGUCCUGUAUAUUGAUUGACUUUUUGUCCUGUAGCCUUUUUGAACUUGCUUGUUAGUUCUAAUGAUAUGUUUUUUAGAUUCCUUAGAAUCUUCUAUAUACAAGAUGAUGUCACCCACACAUAGAGGCAGUUUUAUUUUUUCCUUUCUAAUUUUGAUGCUUUUUAUUUCUAUUUCUAAUUGCCGCUACUAUUAUUUUAUUGCUCUCAGUUUCAACUUUCAGAUCUGCUAAUAUUUGAUUUACAUACUUAGGUGAUUUGAUGCUAGGUGCAUAUGCAUUUACAAUUGCUAUAUCUUCCUACUGAAUGAGGCUUUUAUCAUUAUUAAUGAUCUUCUUUGUCUCUAGUGCCAUUUUUCAGCUAAAAGUCAACUUUUUGUGGUAUAAAUGUAACCACUUCUGCUUUGUUUUGGUUAUCAUUUACAUGAAAUAUUUUUUUCCAUCACUUCACUUUCAGAAGGUCUAAUUGUCUCUAGUGGGGCUUCCCCCAUGGCUCAAGUGGUAAAUAAUCCACCUUCCUGGGUUGGAAAGAUCCCCUGGAGGAAAAAAUGGCAAUGCACUUCAGUAUUCCUGGCUAGAGAAUCCCAUGGCAAGAGGGGACUGGCAGGCUACAGUCCAUGGGGUGGCAAAGAGUAGGACACAACUGGAACAUGGACUUGGGCCCACCAGGCUCCUCUGUCCACGGGGUUCUUCAGGCAAGAACACUGGAAUGGGUUGCCAUUUCUUCUUCCAGGGGCUCUUCCAGACCCAGGGAUCGAACCCGUGGCUCUUGGGUCUCCUCCAUUGCCAGCAGAUUCUCUACCAUCUGAGCCACCAGGGAAGCCCCUGGUCAGGGUUGAGCAGGCAUGCAAUUACCUCUAAUGGGUGACUCAAGACUCUGGUAGCGUCCCACCCAGCAACUGGGAGGCCCAGAGGGGAAGGCUUUUAUAGGCAGAAGGAGGGUGGGGCAAGGAGGUUAUUAGCAAAAGGAGAGAAGGAAUUGUUUCAGGCCAGGCCCCUUCUUUUGGGGGGAAGGGAAGGGCCAGGUCUUUUUAUGCAGAUUGUCUCACUGAUUAGUGCUGUUGGGACCUUUAAGGUUUCUCUUUAAAGACCACAUUCCUGGGAGAGGUUGAAAAUGCAGUUAAGUCUUGGUUUGCUGUCCUGGGGGCAAAUAAUUUCAUUUUGGACUUGUUACUUCUUUAUAACAAUUCUCCCCUUUUUUGAUAAACUCUCACCCUAACAGAGAGAUGUGAUCAAAAUUUAAGGCGUUAGUGCCACUCUCAGCUAUAUGCGUGAUGUUCUGUUAGUAAGUCAAAAAAAGAUCCUCAAUGGAAAUGUCUUUUUUUUUUUUUUUUUAAUUCACUUUUGGCUGUGCUAGAUCUUCAUUGCUGCCCUCGGGAUUUCUCUAAUUGAGGUGGUGGGGACUACUCUGUUGUAGUGCAUGGUAUUCUCAUUGCAGUGGCUUCUGUUGCAGAGCGCCGGCUGUAUGUGCACAGACUUCAGUAGCUGGGGCUCACGGGCUUAGUUGCUCCACGACGUGUGGAAUCUUGCCAGAGCAGGGAUUGAACCUGUGUCCCCUGUACUGGGGGGUGGACUCUCAACCACUAGACCACUAGACUCUAGGGAGGCCCCCAAGAGUCAUCUUGAGUCAAGUUUGCUCAGUAACCGUAUGUAACUGAGUUUCAACUUUCCCAGAAGUGUUAGCUCAGGUACACCAACUUCACUUGUUUUGUUUCUAACAACAACAACAAAAAAAUCUGCUGUCCUUAUUGGUAUGUAAUAUGUCUUUUUUCCUCAGGCUGCUUUUAAGUCUAAAUCACUUUUUUUUUUUUAAGUAUUAUUUUAUGAAGGAAUCCACUUCCAUGACUCAUGAAGCCCAGGCUGAGUUAAGAGAGAUGAGUUCCAGAGAGCACAGGCCCCAGAGCACUCAGUCUUCAGUAGUCGUGGGGCACUGACAUUGUUGCCCUGCAGCAUGUGGAAUCUUCCUGGACCCGGAAUUGAACCUGUGUCCCCUGCAUUGUAAGGCAGAUUCUUAACUAUUGGACCACCAGGGAAGUUCUCUAACACCUUCUUUCUGCAAAUGGAGUUGUCUUACGUGAGGAUGUAAAGCCCGUCCCUGUUACUCCGUCCCAGCUGGACACAGAAAUCCUUAUGAUCAGAUUUCCCUGAUGGUCCAGGAGCUAAGACUCCAAGGUUGAUCCCUACUUGGGGAACUAGAUCCCACGUGCUGCAACUAAAGAUCCUGCAUGCCUGCAGUGAAGAUCAACAACCCCUCAUUCCACUGCUGAGACCCGGCACAGCCAACAAGAAAUAAAUAAAUAGAAUCUUGUGCCUCCCUGGUGGCUCAGUGUUGAAAAACCCACCUGCCAACGCAGGAGACUCGGGUUCGAUCCCCGGUCCGGGAAGAUCCCAUGUGUCGUGGAGCAACAAAGCCCAUGUGCCACAACUGUUGACCCUGGGAGCCACAACUACUGAGCCAACGGGCUGAAGCUACUGCAGCCUACAUGCCCUAGAGCCUGUGUUCUGCAAGGAGAGAAGUCACCGCAGUGAGAAGCCCGCACACCACAACAAAGAGUAGCCCCUGCCUGCUACAACUAGAGAAAAGCCCACACAGCAAGGACGACACACCACAGCCAAAAAUAAACAUAGAAAAUUAUUUUUUUUAAUUCCUUAUGGUCAUUUGUUGAUUUGUUCAGCUGGCAUUUACUGAGGGCAAGCUGAUGUGUGCCCACCUCCCACUGGUCUUACUGAUCUCCAGACACUCCAAAUUUUCCUACCUCGGGGCCUUUGCAUGGCCCCUGUCCUCUGACCAGAAGGCUCUUUUUAGCUGUACUUCUUCCCUCAGCUCAGAGGCCUUCUAGGACUAAUCUGUGUAAAGUGAGCUGCUCUCUUUUUUUUUGCAUCACACAUAUGCUUUCCUUUACAGCUUCUCUUACUAUAAUAUAGGCAGGAAUUUUUGUCUGAUUCCUCACAGCCAGCUCAGGGCCAGGCACACUGUCAGUGUUCGAUAAAUAUUUAUUGAAUGAGUGCAGUCUUUGUGUAUUUCACGGUGCCUGCCACAUAACAGCUCAGUCAACUGGAGCUGCUUGACCGACGGGAACACAGCUCCAUGACUGAAGAUGCCCAACAGGGAAGGGAUCCCAGGCCCCUGGACCAAGGCCACCCUCAGCUCACUCUCAGCUGCGCUCUCCUUAGUGAUAACCGGAGGCCCCGCGUGCUGGCCAGGAGGGCUGACAGGUGGGGCUGAUGAGUUGCAGAUCCAGGCCUCCACCAGGCACAGAACCAGAUGCUGGACAGGAGCCAGAGCCAAACUUCCCUGAUGUUGCUGUCUUCCAGGGCCCUGUCUCUCAUCCACCCCCUCAGAGAGUCUGCCACCAGCCUCUGGGGAAAGAUGGAGCCAUCCCUCUGGUUCUAGCCCCAGAUCUAGUUGUGUGACCAUUGACAACUAUUAGAGUGCUCACAGGAGGAGUGUGUGCUUGCUAAAUCACUUCAGUCAUGUCCAACUCUUUGCGACCCCAUGGACUGUAGCCAACCAGGCUCCUCUGUCCAUGGGAUUUUUCCAGGCAAGAAUACUGGAGUGGGUACCCAUUUCCUGCUCCAGGGCAUCUUCCCGACCCAGGGACCCGCGUCUCUUAUAUCUCCUGCAUUGGCAGGAGUGUUCUUGACCACUAGCACCACCUAGGAAGCACCUUCACAGGAGGAGAGGAUGGCUCAAUAAAGUGAAUGGUACUUUGUAAACUGCAGACCUUCUACGAGCACUCACAGCACCUUACGAGGUUUCUGUUCCAAACACCUACUUUUGACAGAGGAAGGGACUGAGGUUUAAAUGAGAUGAGGUAAGGAGACUGCUUAGCACAAGGCUGGGGACUUCGUGUUUCUAUUCUAGAUGCUAACCAGCUGCCUACCUCUGGCUAAGCAACCAACAGCCUGCAACCCCUCAGCUGAGGGCCUUGAUCCAUCUGUCCUCAAUAAAGAUGAUAGCUACCAUUUUUUGAGCGUUUACGAGGUGCCAGGCCAUGAGCUCAGCGCUUUGCAUGCAUCAUCUAAUUCUUUCAUCAGAGGAUGAGAUGUUAUUAUUCCAAUGAGGAAACUGAAGCUCAAAGACAUUAGGUAAUCUACCCAAACCCUUGCAACUAGUAAGUGGCUUAAGCUGUGUUCAGACCCCUGGGUGUGAGGUCCCCAAGCUUCUAGGUACUGGCCUCUCUUCUCUUAGCAAUCUCUUCUAAUAACUGGUAUUUCUUGCCAGCUACUCCUUCCUGGGCCUUGGGGAAAGGUUUCUGAGAGUCCUUUUGGCCAGUCACCAGAUCAGGGCAAGACAGGGUCUAAAACCUCCAGCUGAGCUUCUGCCCCAAGGCCCAACUAUGAGCUUGUGGAGUUGGCAGUCAGGACAUCACUGAGGGUCAAAGAAAAUCCCACGUUAAAAACACAGCCCUGGGGAAGGAUUCGGAGUGGGGGUGGGGGGGGCGGGCGGAGCCCACAGACCCAGCCGUUCCCUCAGCAAGUAUCCUGCCAGCUGGUUCCCUGCAGGAUGGCAGGAGCUGCAGAUGCAGGCAGGCGAGGGCAUCCAGCCCCGUGGGAGCGCCACAUGGGUGAGGUUACUCUGAUGGGGCCUCCAGGGGGCCUGGCCACUCCAGGAAGGAAGGGAGCUUGAGCGAGCCUUGGAGCACCUAGCCAGUGUGGAUGAAGGAGUGGGAGUGGGAUGGGCAUCCUCUUAGCACAGAGAAACCUGGAGAGCUACUCAGACUGUCCAGCCUUUCCCAGGCUCCUCGCCUGUGCCCCCACUGUGUGUAUGUCCACAGCACGGGCCCUGAGUGAGGGGUUGUCAGUGCUUGGUAGGUGAAGACACUGAGCUCAGGGUCCAAGGCUGUGGGUGGGAUGGGCUGAAUGCCAG
Bos taurus (domestic cattle) is the source of this 6038-nucleotide long non-coding RNA. The record is from Ensembl. NCBI's taxonomy places the organism in Eukaryota, Metazoa, Chordata, Mammalia, Artiodactyla, Bovidae.